This 22279-nucleotide long non-coding RNA is filed under the name Citrus sinensis (sweet orange). Its description in RNAcentral is "long non-coding RNA (CSIN_LNC000042)". The record is from RNAcentral. Lineage: Eukaryota; Viridiplantae; Streptophyta; Magnoliopsida; Sapindales; Rutaceae.
UAGUGUGAGCGUUUUUAUUUGGUUGACUUGUGUUCUUUUAGUCUGGAUCUUUUUGUUUGACGACGGUUAUGGGGUUAAGGGAUCAAAAGAAACUAGUAAAAUUUUCCAGCACGUUACAAGGACUCUUGCGUCUUUUGUUGCUGGCGCUGCUGUUUGGUUCGUGAAGACUCUCUCAGUUAAGUUAAUAAGUGUUUCUUUCCAAAGCAAGCGAUUCUUUCAUCGGAUUCAUGAAGCGAUCUUUCAUCAGCAUGUUCUUCAGGUUCUUUCAGCUGCACAAGAGAAUAAGAUUAAAAAAUUAAGGACCGCAAAUACAGCGAUGCAGUUUAUUUCUAGGAUUAGCAAGCGGAAAAAGUCUAAGGAAAAAAUGACAAUAGAGAAGAUUUCUGCUUGUAUCUCGAAAAGAUUAUUCAGUAGCAGGAACAGUGACUUAAAGUCGUCACAGUCGAAUGAGAUUGAUGAGUCUAAUGAGAUUAAAAGCGAAUCAGAAGCUAAGAUUCUUGCUGAUAAUAUUAUCAAGAAUCUGGAAAAGCUUCAAAGCGAGUGAGUCUAAUGACUUUAAUUAAAUUUAAUUUCCAGUUUCAUAUUAUUUCUUUCGGAAUUAAUUCAUCUCCCUGUUUUUAUUUUGUUAUUGUUAAGAACGACUAGGUUUAUCGAGAAGAAGCAGCUUCAGUGGUUCUUGAAGGAUGAGCAACAUGUGAAAAAAGUGCUGAAAUUGUUUGGAGCGGUCAAGAGCGGAAAAAUCGAUAAGGCAGAUUUUAAGAAAUGGGUGGUAAGAUUCUUUGGAUUUAGAUUCAAUAUUGAAUUGAGUUGUACUGAUUUUACUAUUAUCUUUAGUCACGUCGAGGCGAUGCAAUUGAAUCAAAUUAAAAAGUUGAACCAUUUCAGGUAGUUUCAAAAUUUUCGAACCAAAUGGUUCAAUAUUCUCUUUAAUUUUUGCAAGAAUCAAACUGAAAAAAAGUACAAUGAAGAACAAAACUAAAUAUAAAUCAAGUCCAACCAAAUUGAAUUAAAAUUUGGUUCCAAUUUUCUGAAGUGAUCGGGUUGGGUUCGAUUUUAUGCAUAGAAGUAGGCACUUAGUUCAGCUUAGACCGAACCGAACAGAAUUGGAUUGAAUCAAAGGAAACUGAAUUAAAUUAAGUCUAUGUUUGGUUUAAAAUUUUUCAAAUUAAAUGGUUUAGCGUUCAGUUUGAUUCAUUUUGGCUCUUGAGGAAAGAACCACAUUAGUUAAAAAAAGAAAAAUGAAAAACCAAACCAAACCAAACCAACAAUAAACUCAAUCUAACCAAAACAAAUUAAAAUCCAGUUCUUGUUUAGUUCCUAAUUUUUGAACAGUUCAGGUUUGGUUUGAAUUUAGUUUGAUUCCUAUUUAUACUGUUAUACGGUUUAGAUUCAAAUACAUAUUAUUUUUCUAUUCAAUAACUACUAAUCACACUAUUAAGAAAGCCAAGCAUAAAGUUCAAGUUAGCACUAAAUAAGCUCUUCAGUUAGAAUCAUUACACAUGAACUCUUUUUAAUUAAGUGGUAAUAUUUGUAUUUCUAAUCAAAGUCACAGUAAAUUUGCAUAUCACUUAAAUAUGAAUUGCUAUAAUUGUAUAUGUGAACAUAACGAUUAUAAAUGCACGCAAGCCAAAAGAACUUUAAAAAAAUUAGAGUACAAAAAAAAUUAGCACUAAUCCAAACUCAUUUUUACGUUGCCCAAAACACUUCAUUGUCAUAUAUUACCUACAAUUUCUACUUGAUUUGUCAUGCAUCAUCAAAUCAUCUUGUGAUGAAGUUCUUAUCAUUGCAGACAAAAGUUUAUAAUGACCGCCAGACUCUGAAACGUUCCUUAAAUGAUGCCAAGACUGCCAUAGAAGAGUUGAACAGGAUUCUUUCAGCAAUUGUGAUUGUCCUGAUCAUCAUAGUGUGGUUGCUAGUGAUGGGUCUUUUGACUUACAAAGUAUUUGCCGUUGUUACAUCCCAGCUUUUACUUCUAGCAUUCAUGUUUGGUAACACAGCCAGGACUUGCUUUGAAGCCAUCAUAUUUGUAUUUGUGACGCACCCAUUUGAUGUAGGUGAUAGGUGCUUAAUUGACGGAGUGCUGGUAAAUUAAUUAAAUUGAUUUUCAUCCUAGAUUAUGCCUACUUUAUAAAAUAGGGCUCUGUUUGCUUGACGCACGCAUUUUAAGUUGCAGAUGGUUGUUGAUGAGAUGAACAUUUUGACAACAAUCUUUCUGAGAUAUGACAAGCAGAGGAUAUAUUAUCCAAAUUCAGUUCUAGCAACCAAACCCAUCAGUAACUUUUACAGGAGCCCGCGAGAGAUGGGUGAUACGGUGGAGUUUGCAAUUGAUGUUUUCACAUCAGUUGAGAUCAUUGACAAACUAAAAUAUAGAAUAAAAGAGUAAGUCAGUUCUUUUGAGAUAACAACUGUAUGUUAAAGGGUUAGGAUUGUUGAGACUUGUCUUUGAUACCAAUUUUCGGUUGUUUGUUAUAACGUACUGUUGACGCUUAUUUUUUGUCACUUUUUUUGUGUGCAUAUUUUUGUCAACGUUAUUUUACUGCAGCUACUUGGAGAGGAAGCACAAGCAUUGGAGUGGAGAUCACAGUGUGGUGGUGAAGGAUAUUGAGGAUGUGAAUAAGAUGAGAAUGACUCUCUAUGUUACUCAUACCAUGAACUUUCAGGAUUACAUGAAGAAACUUAAACGGAGAUCCAAAUUAGUCUUAGAGCUAAAGAAAAUAUUUGAAGAACUUGGUAUCAGAUACAAUCUUCUUCCUCAAGAAGUUCGGGUUAGCUACGCGGGGCGCUAACCAGUAGCCAUCAUGUGUUGAAUAUUAAACCCGAUGUACACAGAGACCAAUUAAGCCCAAUUUUCAGAAGUACCUAAGUUUGGUAAGUUUGUGUGAAAUAUGUUAUAGUUUACAUUUGUGGCGGUAAGUUUAGUAUGUAAAAUUUGGGUAGUUGAAAUGUGUGGUGACUGAUGAGUUUGGGUAGUUGAAAUAUAUGGUUAUGAAUGGUUUGCUUCAUGUAUAAUUAAAUGCUCCUGUGCUGUACCAAUAAAGUGUUGGCUCCACUGAUAAUUGAGUCUCCUUAAGUGGCUUGAUUGGGUUUGCUCCCCAGUUCGAGUCGCAGGGAAGUCGCCUUUGUUGGGAGAACCUGUGCCUCUCGGUUCGAGCGGGGACUUCUAGUCUGAAUUGUGGUACGAGCUUAAAGGUGCUUCCCACAGUUGGGACCCUUCCCAGGAUACCUCGUGGUCAAAACCAAAAAAAAAAAAAAAUGCUCCUGUACUGUCAAAACAAAAAAAAAAAAAAUGCUCCUGUACUGUCCAUUAGCCAAGAAGUGUGCUGGAGUUUCUGAGUUAUAAAGAUUUUAAAGUAUUGGUGUUGUACUAUAUUUAUUUAAUAUAUGUAUAAUAUAUGUGUGAAUUAAAUAUAAUUAUUAAUUAUAUAAUUGUUUUUUUAAGAUAAAUAUUUAUAUGCCCACAUGUACUACUUGAAUGUAUUAUAAUAAAAAUACUGUAGAAUCUUUUAUUGUAAAGUGUGAAGAAAUAAAAAUUAUAGUAAUUGAUGAAAUAGUGAAGUUGUUUGAUUGGUCAAAUUCUCUAACGCCAUCAUGAUGAUCGUAGCUGUCUGUAUCAUAGUUACUCCUUUUAGAUCUCGGGACAAAUCUUGUUGAUGAGAAUGGUGAUUGGGCAAUUAAAAAUAAUAAUUUUAAUAAUACUAAUAAGUAAGUAAGUCACUCCAUCUAAACAGAUUAGUCUUUUAGUUGGAUAGAUAAAAAUUUUAGGCCUAAUUCCUCAAUAAUUGGUAUUGUAGCUAAACCUUAGUAGUCGAAAUGUGGUGGUGGAAUAAUUCAAGUGUGUCAGACGAAAGAACUGAGUUCGGUGGUGGUUUCGUCAGAGGAGAGAUUGUUGAGUUAUAUCUCACAUUGACUAAUAAAGAGGAAAUAAUUAAAUUUAGAAGAAAGUAGAUCAUUCUACCUAAAAAGUUACUCUAUUAGUUGGAUAUUUUGAAAUUUUUAGCUUAACCCUCCAACAAUUUGUUAGACUUUCUAGGAAUAGGCUACCAAAUUUUUCUAGAAAGAAUUAAUGAAAUCCCUUUUGAUAUCAUUAUUGCUUUGCUUACUUUUUGUACACUUUAUUUUAUGGCAACUAUUUGGUGAACAACCGUAAGCGUUGGAGUAGAGAUCACAGUGUGGUGGUGAAGGACAUUGAAGGUAUAAACAACAUGAAAAUGGCACAUACUUUCAGGACUAUGGGAAGCACGUUAAAAGGACAUCAAAAUUAGUCUUACAGCUAAAGCAAAUAUUUGAAGAUAUUGAUCAAAUACAAACUUCUACCUCAAGAGGUACACGUCAAUCUAGGACCCACCACCUGCACGGUGAUUGUCUGGCGUCUUGUGCAAAUUAAAUAAUCUACGCUUGAUGUAACGGUUAACUUUUUACAACAAUUUUCUUUUUUGAAUAAGUAAUGGUUAAAAUGUAUGGAUGUAAUGUUUCUAAACUAUCCAGUCAAUACCCUCAUGAGCUAAUCGAAAUGUACUGAAGUAAUGGGCCUGAUGGAGUUAUUUUUGGACUUUCAUUUGUGAUUCAUGGUGUGAAAAGCAUAAGUGAGCUCAAGUAAAGCCGAAACGACUUAAACCUGAACAUGAUUUUAGGCUAUUCUAACAAGUGAAGAAAUAUUUAAAAUAUUUUUCUAGUUUAAUUUGGAAAAUGUUAGAAAACUAGAUAAUUAACAGCACUAUUCCUAAUCAAAAAUUUAUUUUCCAUUAAUGUGUAUUCAAAUAUUUCUUUCUUCAUAAAAAUAUGAAAAUGACAGCUAUACUCUUAUAGUAUAGAAAAUGGUUACAAAUACUUCUAAGUUUUUGAUUAAAAAACACUAAGAUUGGAUCAGAAAUGUUAAAUUUAACUGUUUAGUCUUCAAACUCCGUUUCCAAAUUAGAAACAGGCCCAACCCGCGAAAUAGGAGCAUGCUUGAAUCUUGAUCAACCCGAGCUGGAGAAGCAUCGUAACUUAUACCAGAAUGUUAACACAAGAAUUAGAGGGACCCCCUUCGAACUUUGAUAAAUCCAUAACUAGAUGAGCUUUAGAAUUGAAAAUUACUGAGGGCGUGUUCUUCUAUGAAUGUGUUAGUAAAAAGGUCUUUAGUUUAAACAUACAUAUAAGAAAGAAUGAAUGAAAAAUAGCGUGCUCCAAGAGCAGUUAAAAAUAUUCAGUUAACAAAAAUUCCUCACUACAGGAAGCGAAUGCAGGAGCAUGGAGUAUAACUUCUUUCUCACCCUAGGAGUGGGAUUAGAAUCCACGUUGUCGUCUUUGUGAGUGACAUCAUUAUUAAAGUUGGAUUAAAAUUCUGAGUUGAGUUUUUUGUUAACCACUAAAUUAUUAGUUAUGAUUUAAUUUUUAAUUUUUUAUCUAACAAUUAUUAAUUAAAUACUUAAAAAAAAUCAGCUUAUCAUUAAAUUCUCGUACAUUAAAAUUAUGUCUCCCUAUAUCAAAUUCGAGUGGGAGAAACAAUUGUUAUUAUCUAUUGUGCAAUGCAUGUGAGCAUUAUUUGUGGUAGGAUCCUGGUUGGUGGGGAACAUAUUUUGUAGCAUUGGCUGCGGUUCUUAACUGUUGGACAAGUAGGCAUAAAAUUAAGUACAUAUGAAAAGCCAUGCGCCUGUAUGGUUUGCCUUGUAUAAAUCAUAAUUUGAGGUCUUGGACCUUAUAGAUGCACUGGUACGUAGCCCAUGACAUCAAUAACAUGAUAUAGGAUGACAUCAGUUGAAAAAACUUCUACUAAUUUAAGUUCUUGAAAAUAACAGAGCUUGCCAACUGUCCUGACUAAUUUACUAAUGGUUGCGUAAUCUGAACACUUUUAUUUUCAUAAAAUAUUUUAUUUUGAAAAAACCCACAACUUAAUUGAUUGUUAAGGACAAGUUUACCUAACUAAUUAAAUAUAUUUAUGAACCAUAAAUUAAUCUCUAGUCUCUUUGAUUCUAAUUUCAUAUCUUCCAAAAGCCCAAGUGGCUAGAGCCACUCGGGUUAAGCCCAAGUGGCUAGAGCCACUCCCUCACAAAUGUGAGGGAAGGGGUUCGAGUUCCUGCAAACGCAUUGCAGGGGAUUAAUUUAAAUUUCCUUUCUUGAAGCUCCAGAUCUUGAGUGAAGGUAAUCUUUCUCCCAUAAUGAGAGUUGGGCGUCCCUCAAAUAUUUGAGAGGGUUAAAAAAUCUGAGCCGUGUCAUAUCAGAGGUGAUGUAAACUGAUCUCAGUAAUUUGUAUGAUGUAAAUAUCAUGAACAAUAGUUCUCCUAAAAAAAACAAAAUUCAUAUCUUCCAUCUUGAAUCUCAUACUACAACUAUUUUCUUUAGCAAAGUGAGUUAACAUAACUCUUGUUUUGCUCUACUUCCACAACUUUGUUUCCGCUUUUUUUUCGACAGACAACAUGGUUUGCAUAAUAAUAAAAUUUUAUUAUUAUGUUCUCUUCGAUUGUUCAUAUAUCUAGCAAGUCAAUAACUUUUAUCUAAAUUUCUUCGCAAAAGUUUGUUAGAAAAAUCUUAUAUUUAAGAAAAAUUGCACGAAUAGCUUAUAUUGUUAUUUAUCGUGAUCCAACCCUCUUUUUUCUUUCUUGAAACAGUAUCAUGGUCUAAGUUAAAUAGACUUCUAUGAAAAAUAAAAAUUAUACUUUCAUUGACUAAGUGUGACUUCUUAACCCAAAAGAUAAAUAAGAUAAAAGAAAUUAAAAUACUUUACUCUUUCCAAAUGAUGUCUAUAGACUCUAUGAGAAAGGGGGACAAAAAGAUUCUAAACAUUUUAUAGAAAAAAACUUUUACGAUAAAGUGGUGAGAGAGAAUUGGUAGUGAGAAGAGCUAUUAGAACAAGGUGGAGAUUCAGAAAAUCUUAAUCUAAUUAUGAUUCUCUUAUAAUCUGAUUCUUAAAUAAAAAUAAUAUGUGGCGAUUGGUGGUUAAUAAAUAAAGAAAUUAAAUCAUAUUUAUACACUAUAAUUAAAAGAGACAUAACACAUAAUCUUUAAAAACUCAAAAGAGCUCAAAUUAAGAGAGAAUUUUAAUUCGAAAUACCGAGUACUUUAUUGAAUGUAGUAGAAAACAAUUGUGUUAUAAUAAAAUUAAACCACUUUUGAAGAGUGCGCUUGAGUAGAAAUUAAUUUUCAGACUUUAAGUGCCAACCCAUGUUUUUGUAUCUUGGAUUGUGUUUAUUAAUUCGGUAAAUGCUUUAAUAUCCCAUUCCAUCCACACCUUGUAAAAUGCCUCAACACAUCCCCCUCUUUCAAUGUUUUUUAUCCUUGAAGCAUUGGAUGAUGGAGAUUGUAAAUUUAGCCCUUAAUGAAAUCAUACAUACUGCUUAUUCCCUAUUAUUUUCAUAAUAUCUUAAAGCUCCUCUAGCUCCAAAAAAUUUAAAGGAAAAGAGAGAGAAAUGAAUUAUUUGUUUAAUAAUUUAUCUUAAUAAUAUAAAAUAUACAUGUAUUAUAAAAAAAUAUUAAAAAGAAAAAAUAUAAUUACUGUAAAAUUAUGCUACUCUUAUUAACAAAAUAAGUGAUAUAUAUUACUUUAACUAGGAGAAACUGACAAACUUGCUUUUAUAACUCAAACUUGCUUUUAUAAGUCAAAUAAAUCCAUUCGAUGCUACGGGAAGUUCCCGUUUGCUCGUAUUUCCAAGCACUUGUUUUGGCUGGACAAAUUGCACCAUGCUUUGUCUUAAUUUGCUGUAUAGCCCCGCACUUACAACUUUCCACACAAAUUAUUACUCGCAUUUGUCUUAUUUGGAUAAUGCAUGUUUCACGUGUUGGACGGUGGGCACAAAAUUGAGUAUAUAUAAAUUACGGGAAAAAGACUUACACACCCUCAAUGUUUAAUAGAGGGAUAAAAAAAUUUCUAAUAUUUCGAAAAAAAACAUUCACACCUCCAUCAAUUAACGGAAAUCGUUUCUUUUAAUAGAAUUUAUAAUUUUAAAAUAUAAUUACUGUUAUACCCUUCUAGCACAUAAAAAAGUAAUUGUUGAUUGUUCAAUUUGUUUAUAUUAUUUUAAUAAAAUUAUAAAUAUACCCUCAUUACACAAUUCCUCUAUUUAAAUUUUUGUCAAAUUUUCUCUUCAAACUAAAUAAAUUUAAUCCAUUACUCAAUAAUAAAAAUGAAUAAAAUUGGUUAUUAAUGCCAUAAGAAUAACAAUUCUCCACAUGUCAAUCAUUAAACUUGUACAAUCAACCAAAAAAUUAAAAAAUGUAAUCAUGCUUGAAUAAUGGAUUAAUAACAAAUUUUAUUUAUUUUUAUUAUUGAGUAAUUGUUUAAAUUUAUUUGGUUUGAAAAGAAAAUUUGAAAAAAAUUUAAAUAGAGGAUGUUGAUGCGAGAUUCUGGUUGUCCUCGUUCUACGACCAGGGUCUCUGCUCGAUCAACUUCACCACGACCAGGAUCUCUCCUCGUAAAGCUUCUUCUCUAGAGGUUCCUGCGCACACAGACAGGUCAGAGUACGCCGGUUGUUUUCCCGGCGCAAACCCUCCGACGCUCAAGUCAGAUAUGAAGGUUCGGGGAACGCUUGCCACAAAUCUUAUGGCUGUUAGGUUGUUUUCUCUCUUUUAGAAUUGCUUUUAUCUCUCUUCUAAUCUCAAAAUUGCUAACCCUUUUACCUUCGUUGGCUACCUUUUUAUAGGCUUCCUAUGAAUCCCAGUUUUCCGCAGUCUACGCCCGUUAUCCUCCCACCUCUCGAACGUGGAUUCCCCAUUUCCGUAGUCGUGGGUGGUUGCGUGGCCUUCGUGCCUAGAUUCUUGGGCUGGAGAGCAUGCCUCGCCAACUGUGAUUGACCGGGUCUCCUCAAAUCAACACUUAGCAGGAAUACAGCAUAAAUGACUUUAUGCUUCUUACAAGAAAUUGGCCUCGCGAAUGACGUGCUCGUGGAUGAGCAGGAUAUUCCUGCUCCCUUAGCAAGAAUACAGCAGGAAUGGCUUUAUGCUUCUUAUAGGAAAUUGGCCUCGCGGAUGACGUGCUCGUGGAUGAGCAGGAUAUUCCUGCCCCUGUUCCCCUGCUACCUGGCUCUUACAGGACACACCUGCUCGCAGACUUCUGCCACCAAACAUCUGCUCAUCACGUCUGGUCUCGUCGGAGUAUUUCCCUCAAACACCGGUCCCCCAGUUUCUAGUGUUGAGAGUGAAAUGAAUCAAGACUGAAAACUUUGGUGGUCUACUCGCCUUCGCUUGGUCGAGCAGAUCCUGGCACGCCUGGCUUCUGGUCUCGCCAUAAAUAGGCUUUGAGACUUGGUGAGCCUUUGCAUGCACUAGUAAUUUUUUCGAAUGCUUUGGAGUCUGCUCGCCUUCACGUGGUCGAGUAGAUCCUGGCAUGCUUGGCUUCUGUCUCGCCAUAAAACAGGCUUUGAGACUUGACGAGCCUUUGCAUGCCUUAAUGAAUUCUUCGAUGCUUGAGGAUUCUGCUCCCCUUCACGUGGUCGAGCAUAUCCUGGCAUGCUUGGCUUCUGUCUCGCCAUAAAACAGGCUUUGAGACUUGACGAGCCUUUGCAUGCCUUGGAAAUUUUUUCGAAUGCUUUGGAGUCUGCUCGCCUUCACGUGGUCGAGUAGAUCCUGGCAUGCUUGGCUUCUGUCUCGCCAUAAAACAGGCUUUGAGACUUGACGAGCCUUUGCAUGCCUUGGAAAUUUUUUCGAAUGCUUUGGAGUCUGCUCGCCUUCACGUGGUCGAGUAGAUCCUGGCAUGCUUGGCUUCUGUCUCGCCAUAAAACAGGCUUUGAGACUUGACGAGCCUUUGCAUGCCUUGGAAAUUUUUUCGAAUGCUUUGGAGUCUGCUCGCCUUCACGUGGUCGAGUAGAUCCUGGCAUGCUUGGCUUCUGUCUCGCCAUAAAACAGGCUUUGAGACUUGACGAGCCUUUGCAUGCCUUGGAAAUUUUUUCGAAUGCUUUGGAGUCUGCUCGCCUUCACGUGGUCGAGUAGAUCCUGGCAUGCUUGGCUUCUGUCUCGCCAUAAAACAGGCUUUGAGACUUGACGAGCCUUUGCAUGCCUUGGAAAUUUUUUCGAAUGCUUUGGAGUCUGCUCGCCUUCACGUGGUCGAGUAGAUCCUGGCAUGCUUGGCUUCUGUCUCGCCAUAAAACAGGCUUUGAGACUUGACGAGCCUUUGCAUGCCUUGGAAAUUUUUUCGAAUGCUUUGGAGUCUGCUCGCCUUCACGUGGUCGAGUAGAUCCUGGCAUGCUUGGCUUCUGUCUCGCCAUAAAACAGGCUUUGAGACUUGACGAGCCUUUGCAUGCCUUGGAAAUUUUUUCGAAUGCUUUGGAGUCUGCUCGCCUUCACGUGGUCGAGUAGAUCCUGGCAUGCUUGGCUUCUGUCUCGCCAUAAAACAGGCUUUGAGACUUGACGAGCCUUUGCAUGCCUUGGAAAUUUUUUCGAAUGCUUUGGAGUCUGCUCGCCUUCACGUGGUCGAGUAGAUCCUGGCAUGCUUGGCUUCUGUCUCGCCAUAAAACAGGCUUUGAGACUUGACGAGCCUUUGCAUGCCUUGGAAAUUUUUUCGAAUGCUUUGGAGUCUGCUCGCCUUCACGUGGUCGAGUAGAUCCUGGCAUGCUUGGCUUCUGUCUCGCCAUAAAACAGGCUUUGAGACUUGACGAGCCUUUGCAUGCCUUGGAAAUUUUUUCGAAUGCUUUGGAGUCUGCUCGCCUUCACGUGGUCGAGUAGAUCCUGGCAUGCUUGGCUUCUGUCUCGCCAUAAAACAGGCUUUGAGACUUGACGAGCCUUUGCAUGCCUUGGAAAUUUUUUCGAAUGCUUUGGAGUCUGCUCGCCUUCACGUGGUCGAGUAGAUCCUGGCAUGCUUGGCUUCUGUCUCGCCAUAAAACAGGCUUUGAGACUUGACGAGCCUUUGCAUGCCUUGGAAAUUUUUUCGAAUGCUUUGGAGUCUGCUCGCCUUCACGUGGUCGAGUAGAUCCUGGCAUGCUUGGCUUCUGUCUCGCCAUAAAACAGGCUUUGAGACUUGACGAGCCUUUGCAUGCCUUGGAAAUUUUUUCGAAUGCUUUGGAGUCUGCUCGCCUUCACGUGGUCGAGUAGAUCCUGGCAUGCUUGGCUUCUGUCUCGCCAUAAAACAGGCUUUGAGACUUGACGAGCCUUUGCAUGCCUUGGAAAUUUUUUCGAAUGCUUUGGAGUCUGCUCGCCUUCACGUGGUCGAGUAGAUCCUGGCAUGCUUGGCUUCUGUCUCGCCAUAAAACAGGCUUUGAGACUUGACGAGCCUUUGCAUGCCUUGGAAAUUUUUUCGAAUGCUUUGGAGUCUGCUCGCCUUCACGUGGUCGAGUAGAUCCUGGCAUGCUUGGCUUCUGUCUCGCCAUAAAACAGGCUUUGAGACUUGACGAGCCUUUGCAUGCCUUGGAAAUUUUUUCGAAUGCUUUGGAGUCUGCUCGCCUUCACGUGGUCGAGUAGAUCCUGGCAUGCUUGGCUUCUGUCUCGCCAUAAAACAGGCUUUGAGACUUGACGAGCCUUUGCAUGCCUUGGAAAUUUUUUCGAAUGCUUUGGAGUCUGCUCGCCUUCACGUGGUCGAGUAGAUCCUGGCAUGCUUGGCUUCUGUCUCGCCAUAAAACAGGCUUUGAGACUUGACGAGCCUUUGCAUGCCUUGGAAAUUUUUUCGAAUGCUUUGGAGUCUGCUCGCCUUCACGUGGUCGAGUAGAUCCUGGCAUGCUUGGCUUCUGUCUCGCCAUAAAACAGGCUUUGAGACUUGACGAGCCUUUGCAUGCCUUGGAAAUUUUUUCGAAUGCUUUGGAGUCUGCUCGCCUUCACGUGGUCGAGUAGAUCCUGGCAUGCUUGGCUUCUGUCUCGCCAUAAAACAGGCUUUGAGACUUGACGAGCCUUUGCAUGCCUUGGAAAUUUUUUCGAAUGCUUUGGAGUCUGCUCGCCUUCACGUGGUCGAGUAGAUCCUGGCAUGCUUGGCUUCUGUCUCGCCAUAAAACAGGCUUUGAGACUUGACGAGCCUUUGCAUGCCUUGGAAUUCUGCUAGCCUUCUCGUGGCCGAGCAGAUCCUGGCAUGCUUGGCUUCUGUCUCGCCAUAAACAAGCUUUGAGACUUGACGAGCCUUUGCAUGCCUUAGGUAAUUUCUUCAAAGCUUGGGAUUCUGCUAGCCUUCUCGUGGCCGAGCAGAUCCUGGCAUGCUUGGCUUCUGUCUCGCCAUAAACAAGCUUUGAGACUUGACGAGCCUUUGCAUGCCUUAGGUAAUUUCUUCAAAGCUUGGGAUUCUGCUAGCCUUCUCGUGGCCGAGCAGAUCCUGGCAUGCUUGGCUUCUGUCUCGCCAUAAACAAGCUUUGAGACUUGACGAGCCUUUGCAUGCCUUAGGUAAUUUCUUCAAAGCUUGGGAUUCUGCUAGCCUUCUCGUGGCCGAGCAGAUCCUGGCAUGCUUGGCUUCUGUCUCGCCAUAAACAAGCUUUGAGACUUGACGAGCCUUUGCAUGCCUUAGGUAAUUUCUUCAAAGCUUGGGAUUCUGCUAGCCUUCUCGUGGCCGAGCAGAUCCUGGCAUCUUGGCUUCUGUCUCGCCAUAAAACAUGCUUUGAGACUUGACGAGCCUUUGCAUGCCUUUGAAAAUUUUUUGAAUGCUUUGGAGUCUGCUCGCCUUCACGUGGUCGAGCAGAUCCUGGCAUGCUUGGCUUCUGUCUCGCCAUAAAACAGGCUUUGAGACUUGACGAGCCUUUGCAUGCCUUAGUAAAUUCUUCAAUGCUUGGGGAUUCUGCUCGCCUUCACGUGGUCGAGCAAAUAUUGGCAUGCUUGGCUUCUGUCUCGCCAUAAACAGGCUUUGAGACUUGGUGAGCCUUUGCAUACCUUAGAAGAUUUAUCACAGUUUCAAGUGAAUGACAUUCCUCGACGUUCCAUUAAUUGCAGGUUUUGAUUUUACAUGAACUUGCUUUGACGUAAAACAUAAAAAUAAAAGAUAAAGAGCACGAGCAGAAAUUACUUUAAAAUGUGAACAAGUCUUACUGGAAGUAUUUUCGGAGGUGUGCUGCGUUCCAUGGGCGUUUCACCUCGUGGCCGUCCGUGCGAACCAGCUUGUAAGCUCCGGGUCCCACCAUCUGCUUGACUCUAUAUGGCCCUUCUUGUUUUCUACUCGGGUAUCGAGGGAUGUUAUCUGCAUUGCUUCCCUUGCUGCCGAGGAGUAGCAGCUUCUUGCGAUCCUCUGGUCUCCUCGUACCACUCCNNNNNNNNNNNNNNNNNNNNNNNNNNNNNNNNNNNNNNNNNAUUUUUUUUUCGAUUUUCUGCUGUACGGCCAAGGCGGAUGUACGGUACAGCAGCUCGGGUAUCGAGGGAUGUUAUCUGCAUUGCUUCCCUUGCUGCCGAGGAGUAGCAGCUUCUUGCGAUCCUCUGGUCUCCUUGUACCACUCCAACUACCCCAUUCACCCGGUACUUCAGAGCCAGAUAAUGGUUGGACAGCACCGCUUUGUUCAUCCUCAAAAAUGGCCAGCCUAGGAUCAUCUGGUAAGGACCUUCUUCGUCUACCACCACAAAGUCCAGCAUCAUUGUCCUUUCUGUCGGGGAGCUCCCAAUUGUGAUAUCCUGGCACGUUUGGCUUCUGUCUCGUCAUAAACAGGCUUUGAGACUUGGUGAGCCUUUGCAUGCCUUAGUGACUUCUUCGAUGCUUGGGGAUUCUGCUCGCCUUCGCGUGGUCGAGCGGAUCCUGGCACGUUUGGCUUCUGUCUCGUCAUAAACAGGCUUUGAGACUUGGUGAGCCUUUGCAUGCCUUAGUGACUUCUUCGAUGCUUGGGGAUUCUGCUCGCCUUCGCGCGGUCGAGCAGAUCCUGGCAUGCUUGGCUUCUGUCUCGCCAUAAAACAGGCUUUGAGGCUUGGCGAGCCUUUGCAUGCCUUAGUGACUUCUUCGAUGCUUGGGGAUUCUGCUCGCCUUCGCGUGGUCGAGCGGAUCCUGGCACGUUUGGCUUCUGUCUCGUCAUAAACAGGCUUUGAGACUUGGUGAGCCUUUGCAUGCCUUAGUGACUUCUUCGAUGCUUGGGGAUUCUGCUCGCCUUCGCGUGGUCGAGCGGAUCCUGGCACGUUUGGCUUCUGUCUCGUCAUAAACAGGCUUUGAGACUUGGUGAGCCUUUGCAUGCCUUAGUGACUUCUUCGAUGCUUGGGGAUUCUGCUCGCCUUCGCGUGGUCGAGCGGAUCCUGGCACGUUUGGCUUCUGUCUCGUCAUAAACAGGCUUUGAGACUUGGUGAGCCUUUGCAUGCCUUAGUGACUUCUUCGAUGCUUGGGGAUUCUGCUCGCCUUCGCGCGGUCGAGCAGAUCCUGGCAUGCUUGGCUUCUGUCUCGCCAUAAACAGGCUUUGAGACUUGGUGAGCCUUUGCAUGCCUUAGUGACUUCUUCGAUGCUUGGGGAUUCUGCUCGCCUUCGCGCGGUCGAGCAGAUCCUGGCAUGCUUGGCUUCUGUCUCGCCAUAAACAGGCUUUGAGACUUGGUGAGCCUUUGCAUGCCUUAGUGACUUCUUCGAUGCUUGGGGAUUCUGCUCGCCUUCGCGCGGUCGAGCAGAUCCUGGCAUGCUUGGCUUCUGUCUCGCCAUAAACAGGCUUUGAGACUUGGUGAGCCUUUGCAUACCUUAGAAGAUUUAUCACAGUUUCAAGUGAAUGACAUUCCUCGACGUUCCAUUAAUUGCAGGUUUUGAUUUUACAUGAACUUGCUUUGACGUAAAACAUAAAAAUAAAAGAUAAAGAGCACGAGCAGAAAUUACUUUAAAAUGUGAACAAGUCUUACUGGAAGUAUUUUUGGAGGUGUGCUGCGUUCCAUGGGCGUUUCACCUCGUGGCCGUCCGUGCGAACCAGCUUGUAAGCUCCGGGUCCCACCAUCUGCUUGACUCUAUAUGGCCCUUCUUGUUUUCUACUCGGGUAUCGAGGGAUGUUAUCUGCAUUGCUUCCCUUGCUGCCGAGGAGUAGCAGCUUCUUGCGAUCCUCUGGUCUCCUUGUACCACUCCAACUACCCCAUUCACCCGGUACUUCAGAGCCAGAUAAUGGUUGGACAGCACCGCUUUGCUCAUCCUCAGAAAUGGCCGGCCUAGGAUCAUCUGGUAAGGGCCUUCUUCGUCUACCACCACAAAGUCCAGCAUCAUUGUCCUUUCUGUCGGGGAGCUCCCAAUUGUGAUAGGCAGCUCGACCAUGCCCAGAGGGAUCAGCUUUCCUCCUCCAAACCCUUUCAAGGAGGUGUUGGUAUAUUCCAGCUUCUGGUCUGCUAUUCCCAUCUCCUCCAGGGUUGACUUAAACAAUACGUCAACUGAGCUCCCUGUGUCAACCAGUAUCCUGUCAAACUUCUUGCUAGCAACAGUGGCCUUGAUGACCAAAGCAUCCUCGUGAGGGUAUAAAAUCCCUUCCUCAUCCUCAUCUGUCCACAUGAUUGGCACUUGCCUAACUCUUGCACGUUUGGCUGCUGGGGUGUUGAAGAAUACCUCUUUGCUGGUCAUGGCGUAUCUAGCAUAAUUCUUCCUCGACUGUUGGAAUCUUCAGCCAAUGUUGGGCCCCCAGCUAUCAUCCUUACUGUAGGCUGCUCGCGCCUCAAAUUCCUGUCACUCUGCUCCCCUUCAUUUGUUGAUGCUACCAUUGGGAAUGUCCCAUCUAUAAACUCGUCCAGAUACCGAUUUCUCACCAAAUCUUCAACCUGGGUCUUGAGAUCCCUGCAAUCUGCUGUGGUGUGACCAUGAGUGCCAUGGAACUUACAAUAGCGUUCCCUAUCCCUCCUGCUGGAUGGCUUUGUUAUUGGGCCAGGGAGGUACAGCAGCCCUCGAUCCUUUAUGGCUUCCUACACCUCAUCCAGGGACAUCUUCAAGGAAGUAUACCGCCCAUAGUCCUGGUUCUGGUCGAUCAGGUGCACUGCUCUUUCUCUGUUUGCUCCGUUCUGAGUUGGGGGCGUUGGUAGUACUUCUGGUCUGCUCCCUCUGCUACCGUGGGAAUGUUGAUGAAGACCACCAUAUGCCGAAUCAUGCCUUCUCCAAGGCUCCCUAGCUGGGGAACGAGGAGGUUGCGCCCUGCUGCGCUGAUACUGUGGUGGCCUCUGAUGGGGCUGGUAAGUGUUGAGUGUUAGAAAAUGCAUAUUUAUAAAGGAGAAAACCGUCAUUUUACAUUUCAAGUCUUACUAACAACCCUUACUUUUAUGUAUUUAACCUUCUUGUUAUUUAAUUACAUGUGUUUUAUUUUAAUUAAGUAUUUUAUGUAUUUUAGGGGCAUCAUAGUCAUUUCACAAUAAACGAGAAAUCAGAUGGCAAAACGGACAUCACUUUUGAACUCAGGACGGUCGAAAACCUUAGGAGGAGCAUAAAAGGAAAAAUGGCACUGUUCACUUGUACGGUACUAUUCACGUGUACGGUACUAACUACGUUACUGUUCACAAUACUGUUCACAUAGACGGAUCGAUGACGUGGCAUUGACCGAUGAUGUGGCAUUGACUGAGGAGGUGUCACGAUCCUGUUGGACUAAAAUUCUUAUAUACUGUUGAUGGUGACGUGGCAGCAUAUCAGUGGACAAAAAAUCUCGCAUACGGUGCAUGCAUCACACAGGAUUAUUUUCAACCAAACCGCGUUACCUGCUGUACGGCCAAGGCGGAUGUACGGUACAGCAGGGUGCCAUUUCUCGUACCCAUGAUGUGGACACUUCAAGAGUAGCCCAUUGAAUCGCUCCCACGUUUCGAAAAACUGCUCGUCUUCUCUCUGGGUAAACUCCGAGAUUUCCCUGCGAAUAGCAUUGGUUNNNNNNNNNNNNNNNNNNNNNNNNNNNNNNNNNNNNNNNNNNNNNNNNNNNNNNNNNNNNNNNNNNNNNNNNNNNNNNNNNNNNNNNNNNNNNNNNNNNNNNNNNNNNNNNNNNNNNNNNNNNNNNNNNNNNNNNNNNNNNNNNNNNNNNNNNNNNNNNNNNNNNNNNNNNNNNNNNNNNNNNNNNNNNNNNNNNNNNNNNNNNNNNNNNNNNNNNNNNNNNNNNNNNNNNNNNNNNNNNNNNNNNNNNNNNNNNNNNNNNNNNNNNNNNNNNNNNNNNNNNNNNNNNNNNNNNNNNNNNNNNNNNNNNNNNNNNNNNNNNNNNNUGGUAAGCAGUUACCCGACCUCCUACUCCACUACCCGAGGUUUGGUGGUCCCUCCUCCUGAUCGGCCCAUUCCCUGGUAAUGCUCUCUUCUCUUUCCUCCCCAACCCUUCUAACUGGUCUGUUUUAAUCCGUGCGGCCUUCUCCUCUUCAAUCUCAAUGUCUCUCUUAGCCUGCUCGUAUGCGGCCGCAUACGUCUGAAUAACUGGGCUUCUUAAGUUGUACCACAGCCUUCCUAUCUUCACCCCUUCUUUCAAUCCCUUUAACGCAUGAGGGUGGUUGAAGGCUCCCAAGUUGAGGACAGCACGAUGAAACCUCUUGAUGAAUUCCCGAAGGGUUUCUUGCUCUCCCUGUUUCAUGCUUUUCAGCUCCAUCAUGUCAUCUUCUGGUGCCAUUGCCCCACUAAACUGCUCCGUAAAUUCCUGGCACAUCUGCUCGAAGGUUUUAAUGUUGCCCCGAGGAAGUUUCCUGUACCACUCUCGUGCACGUCCUUCAAGGGAUAGCGGGAACACCCUGCACCUUUGGGAUUGAGAUAAUCCUUGUACCCCAGUUAUGUCGUUGAAGCGCUCUAUGUGUACCAGUGGAUCAGUUCUUCCCGAAUAUCUAAGGUCUGAGAGGCGGAAAUCUCUCGGAAUAACUGCCUUCAUGAUCUCUGCUGCGAGCGGUGAUUCUCCGUCCAGCAUUAUUCUCCAACCAGGAGCUCUGCUCUUCCCUUGCAUGUCAUCAAUUAUCUGCGCUAGUCUGCGCACUUCCUCCUCCAGCUGCACUGCACGACCAGGGUCACGUGCUGCAACUUGAUCCCGCUCUUGCUCUACAUCAUGUAAAUGUUGCCUCAGUACUGUUUCCUCUGCGUUCGCCACCCCAUCGUCCUCGUCAAAAAUCUGUCUUGCCGGGGACUGCUCUUCCUCUCUAUGGAAUUCUCCCCGCUGGGGUAUGUUACCUCUUUCCUCACCAAAUCUCCCGAUGGUCUGACUUCUCCUCGUAUUAUCAGGACCUGGUGCCACUCCAUCACCUCUCACCCUUUCUUCCUGGGUUACCCUUCGUUCACUUCGCAGCUCAUGCAGGAUGGUUGUCAAGGUCUCCAUACCCUUCGUUCGCUCCGCAGCUCAUGCAGGAUGGUUGUCAAGGUCUCCAUCUGCUUUUCCAUCCGUUCCAUCCGGUCGAACAUGGCUUUUUUCCGUGCUUCACUGGCUAUCUCCCUCAGCGUUACGGAAUCGUUAAGCCUCAUAUCACCCCCUUAUGUACUACUUCCUCCUGUCUCUAUUGCUUUUCAGCUGCUUCCCUUCUCUUCUUGCUAUCAACAGAAGCUCUGCGCUCAGCUCCCCACAGACGGCGCCAAAAUGUUGAUGCGCCUUCUCUUCUUGCUAUCAACAGAAGCUUUUUGCUCAGCUCCCCACAGACGGCGCCAAAAUGUUGAUGCGAGAUUCUGGUUGUCCUCGUUCUACGACCAAGGUCUUUGCUCAAUUAACUUCACCACGACCAGGAUCUCUCCUCGUAAAGCUUCUUCUCCAGAGGUUCCUGCGCACACAGACAGGUCAGAGUACGCCGGUUGUUUUGGCGCAAACCCUCCGACGCUCAAGUCAGAUAUGAAGGUUCGGGGAACGCUUGCCACAAAUCUUAUGGCUGUUAGGUUGUUUUCUCUCUUUUAGAAUUGCUUUUAUCUCUCUUUUAAUCUCAAAAUUGCUAACCCUUUUACCUUCGUUGGCUACCUUUUUAUAGGCUUCCUAUGAAUCCCAGUUUUCCGCAGUCUAUGCCCGUUAUCCUCCCACCUCUCGAACGUGGAUUCCCCAUUUCCGUAGUCGUGGGUGGUUGCGUGGCCUUCGUGCCUAGAUUCUCAGGCUGGAGAUCAUGCCUCGCCAACUGUCGUUGACCGGGUCUCCUCGAAUCAACCCUUAGCAAGAAUACAGCAGGAAUGGCUUUAUGCUUCUUACAGGAAAUUGGCCUCGCGGAUGAUGUGCUCGUGGAUGAGCAGGAUAUUCCUGCCCCUGUUUCCCUGCUACCUGGCUCUUACAGGACACACCUGCUCGCAGACUUCUGCCACCAAACAUCUGCUCAUCACGUCUGGUCUCGUCGGAGUAUUUCCCUCAAACAGAGGAAUUGGGUAAUGAGGGCAUAUUCAUAAUUUUAUUAAAAAUAUAUGGACAAAUUGGACAAUCAACAAUUACUUUUUUAUAUACUAGAAGGAUAUAACGAUAAUUACAUGUUAAAAUUAUAAAUUCUUCUAAAAGAAAUUAUUUCCAUUAGUUAAUGGGGGUAUGAAUGUAUUUUUUAGAACAUUUGAGAGUUGUUUAUCAUUUUGCUAAACGUUGGGGUGUGUCAGCCCUUUUCCCUAUAAAUAACCGUCUUAAUAACUCAGGACAUCAAUUACGGGUAAUUUUUACUUUCCUCCCUUGAGCUUUGAGCCUUUUGCACUUAGAUGGCCAAGAUUCAUUUAUUAUUAAAGACCCCCCUACGAAAUGCAAACGGUAGAUCUCGUAUGGUUAGUUAUAGGCAAUUUAGUAAUUUAAUUUGACAAGCAUAACUUUUACACAUUUUGAUUGACAUGAGCAUAGUGAAUGGUCAAAUCAUUGUGAAAAAAUAGUGCAUUGUGAUCAUUCAUAUAAAUAAAAAAUUAUAAAAAAAAUCAAAGAUUAAAUCUUUUUCUCUUUUCUCUCAAACUACACGUUUCUCUUUCUGAAGCUAAGACGAAAGCUCUAUUUAGAAGGCAAAAAAAUUCUUUAUUUCUAGCAAAUCAGUAUUUAUUACUUGUGUGAAGUGAAGAAGAAACACCAAACUUGCGUCAUGUCCAGCUAUGAUAUUACUGUGAGUUAUUUGUAAAUGUCAAGUUUGUGCUUCAUUCUUUGUUCAUUGACACAUUUUUGAUAAUGUUUAUGGAACUGUAAAAUAUAAAAUCAAGAAUAAAUUUUCCAACUCCAUUUUGAGUAUUUUGCAAGCAUAUGUUUUCAGCUUAUGUUAUGGUAGAUUGUGCAUUUGAUUUAUGUGUUGUAAUAUUCAUGAUGUACUUUUUAAAGUGAGUUUUAAUAGGCCCGAAAUAUGUAUGAAGGUAUAAACAAUUUUUUUUUUGUCUUAAUGAUAGUUAUACAGAGCUGAAAAAACUGAAGUUUAAAACACUUAAUGAUCAUUGUUUUUAAUUGCAUAAUGUAAUAUUAUCCUUUUAUUAGAAUUAUCCUUUUAUUUGUUGAAUGUAAUUGUAAAUAAUCCAAUUUUAAGGGGUAUAAUGGUAAUAUUAUGGUUGUUAUAGUUUUCGCACGAAAUGUAUAGCGUGUGAAAGUUCUUGAAAAUCCAACUGGGGGUAUUUCAGUCUUUUUGAAUUCAACUAACAGUCAAACACAAAAUUAACUGACGGUAGGGGGGUCUUUACUAAUAAAUGGAUCUUAGCCAUCUAAGUGCAAAAGACACAAAGUUCAGGGGAGGAAAGUAAAAAUUACCCCAUCAAUAACAUGAUAGAGGAUGACGUGACAUGCCAACGCUCGUAUUGGAAAAAGCUUAUAUUAAUUUAAGUUCUUGAAAAUAACAUGACAUGCCAACUCUCAUAACUGAUUUAUUAAUGGCGGUGCUGUUUAUCUCUAAAUUAUUUUUCUUUAGCAAUGUGAGUUAACGUAACCCUCGUUUCGGAACACCUCCAUAAUUUUGUUAGGUUUUUUGUCCAAAAAAAAAAAAAAUAGUUCGAAUAAAUAAUAAAAUUCUACUAUUAUAUAUAUUCUCUUCGAUGGUUCACCUAUCUUGUACGUUAACAGUACUUAAAUUAUUUAAUUUUAUUGAGAAUUUUCGCAAAAAUUUGUUGGAAAAUUAUUGUAUUUAAGAAAAAUACACGGAUAGUUUAUGUUGUUAUUUAUCAUGACCUAAAACUUUUAGUUUUCCUUUCCUGAAAUAAUGUCGUGGUCUAAGUUAAAAAGACUACUAUGAGUAGACUCUAUGGGAAAGGGGACAGAAAGAUUCUAAACCUUUUACAGCAAAACUUUUAUAAUACAGUGAUGAGAGAGAAUCUGUUUUAGGAGAGCUACUAGGAGGAUGAAAUUCAAAGGUCGAGACUUUAUCGAGUGUAGGGAAAAACAAAUUUGUGUAAUGCAAUUAAACCACACAUCCAAAACACUGAAUUGUGUUAUAUUAAUUCGGUAAAUACUCUUUACAUCCCAUUCCAUCCACAGUUUUUUAAAAUGCGUCAACAUAUCCCUUUCUCUCAAUGUUUUGCUCAAUUCGACAAUUUUUAUCUUUGAUGAAUUUGGAUAAUUUAAAUAGAUCAAUUCCAUGCUACGUACACAAAGGGAAGUUCCCGUUUCAACUUGUUCAUAUUUCCAAGCACUGUUUUUGGCUUGACAAAUUGCACCAUGCAUGUCUUCAUCAUGACUUUUGCAUUUAUCGCUUUGUCUUAAUUUGCUAUAGCUCACACUUAUAACUUGCCACAAAAAUCAUUGCUUGCUUUUGAUAUUUUUGGACAAUGCAUGUUUCACGUGCGGUUGCUUUAAUAUUUUAAGUUAAAUGAAACAGGCUUUUAUUAAAAUCUGGUAAAACCAUUUUUUUGUCAAAUUCGUAUUGCUGCUCUAUAUAUGGCGGUUCCGCUUUCUGCUAGUACAUACAACUCUCUUUUAGGCAACUCUAGCUCUUCUUCCUCAUUAGCGCAAAUGGAAGGUAAAAAGGACAAAGGAAACGACAAUGCCGUGAUACAGAUUAAUACAGAUACCGAAGAAUCUCAUUUAAGAGAGCAAGCAAAGAACUUGAAGUCAGCUGCUUCAAGAGAGGAUGAAGACGAGGAGGAAGAGGAAGAGGAAGAGGAGGGGGAGGAGGAUGAUGAAAAUAUAAUAAUAGGUAAAGUAAAGGACAUUUCACUCAUGCUUGAGUUCAUUAUAUUUGUGUCCAUAUUGUGCUUGUUAAUUGCCAGCUUAGCCUUGAAAAAGUUGCAAAACCAUGUCAUAUGGGAUCUAGAGCUGUGGAAAUGGUGUCUGUUAGCAUUGGUGACUCUCUCUGGUCCUUUGGUUAGUCGAUGCUUCAUCACUAUUACUGUUUUGCUCAUUGAAAAAAAAUUCAUGCUUAAGCAUUUGGUUCUGUAUUUUGUUUAUGGGUUGAGGGCAAGUGUGAGCGUUUUUAUUUGGUUGACUUGUGUCCUUUUAGUCUGGAUCUUUCUGUUUGACCAUGGGUAUGGGGUUAAGCGAUCAAAAGAAACUAGUAAAAUUUUCCAUCACAUUACAAGGACACUUGCUUCUUUUGUUGCUGGGCCUGCUGUUUGGUUCGUGAAGACUCUCUCAGUUAAGUUAAUAAGUGUUUCUUUCCAAAGCAAGCGAUUCUUCCAUCGGAUUCAUCAAUCGAUCUUUCAUCA